GCCCCAGCCUGCUGCUAAGGGUCCCUCCGGGGUGAGGCCCGGGGUCCUGGGAUUGGGUGCUGGGUGUGAAACGCCAGGGUCAGUGCCACUGCUUUGCUGGUGUCCUGAAUACACGUUUCUCUGCUUCUUGGGUAAUCUGACACGAUAACUGGCCAGAGGGAGUCAGCCAGGAUCACCCUGAAUAUUGCUAGAGACCUUUUGAUGGUUUGAAAUCACUCAUGCAAGAGACACCAAGUACCCAGGAUGUUUCAAGCACUGACCCAGGUCCUGAGGCUGCAACAGACAAUUAAUUAAGGGUUCGG
Molecule: long non-coding RNA, 302 nt
Organism: Cervus elaphus (red deer)
Lineage: Eukaryota; Metazoa; Chordata; Mammalia; Artiodactyla; Cervidae
Exons: 3
Source: RefSeq, a predicted model, not a curated record